Molecule: transfer RNA, 72 nt
Filed under: Perca flavescens (yellow perch)
Lineage: Eukaryota; Metazoa; Chordata; Actinopteri; Perciformes; Percidae
Also listed under: 1 other name
Rfam family: tRNA
About the family: Transfer RNA (tRNA) molecules are approximately 80 nucleotides in length. Their secondary structure includes four short double-helical elements and three loops (D, anti-codon, and T loops).
Source: Rfam by way of RNAcentral
UCCCAUAUGGUCUAGUAGUUAGGAUUCCUGGUUUUCACCCAGGUGGCCUGCGUUCAACUCCUGGUGUGGUAA